This is a long non-coding RNA of Neogale vison (American mink), 1463 nucleotides long. RefSeq lists it as uncharacterized. Lineage: Eukaryota; Metazoa; Chordata; Mammalia; Carnivora; Mustelidae. The transcript has 3 exons. The record is from RefSeq and is a predicted model, not a curated record.
UCCGCCUAGUUCUUUCCUCACAGGACAUGGAUGCUAUGGUCACUGAGUGAUGCUGGCUUCAGCCCUCAGGGAUUGGUUACCUUAAAGUUUAGCAGGUCCUAAGUGAAGGACCAGCUGGCCUGGGGAGCCGUGGAGGUGGACAUGGGGACUCUGCCUUGCGGGGGGGAUGGUCAGGAGGUAGAUGGCCAUGGGAAAUGAUGUGGAACCAGAGUGUUUUAUAUAAAUGUUGGGGGUCAGCCCAUUGGGAGGGGUUUGGCUUCUUUUACAUUUGAUGCUCAGGUUGUGGUUUACUGUCACUUUGCAUCAGACUGGCAUUCAGGGGCUUGCCUGGUGGGCGCACGUGUGCAUGUGCUGUGCGUUCUGGGAUGACUGCAGGCUCACCAGGCUUCUGUCUAAUCACAGGUCUGCACCACAGGGCACCCAGCCCACCUUUUCCUCUGUGGAGGAUGAGCGGAGAGAGAAAUCUGUCCUUCACUGUAAUCGUUCUGUCUUGUUUCUAAUGACCGCGCCCAGCUGACCACAGCUGUGGUCUCAGCUGCUAGGGCUUUUCAGAAAGAGUCUGUUCCCUUUGGUCUGCACAGCAAGUGAGCCAGCAUUAGGGGAGUACUCCUUCCACUCAAAGCCCACAGGGGCCCAGAAAGGUUGCUGACCUGGAAACAAGAUCCUCUUCAGAGAGAAGGGUCUAGUGCCUGAUGGGACUGUGCCACCCUUCUCUUUACAGAGACUUGAAAUAAGCACGACCAGGGGGCACGGUUAUCUCUUUAAACCUUUGUCUUUUAUUAAUGUCUCAGUUUAGUAAUGGUAAAAGAUGAAAGAUGGGUUUAAAAUUUAUAAAAAUGGGAGAAAAAAAGUCUGCUCUGAGGAGUUGGUAUCUGUUUCUUUGCACAAACGAUGUUCACGUGGUUUUAGACCUUGUUCUUCUGAAGUGACUGGUUUCGAGUACAACUGGCAGGGCCUUUGAAAGCUAUCUGGCUGCCUGGUGGGUUCUGCCAAGAAUCUGACUUUGGACCUCAGAAUCCUCACUAGUAAAGUGAGAGGUCACGUGACAUACUGAGCAAGUUCUGUCCAACUUCUACAACUGGAAGAAAAUGCUUUUAUUCUGGAUAGUUCUUACCCUUACAGGAUGUAGUGCUGGUGUGAGGCCUGGCUCUGGAGCAUCUGUGCUGAUAGCCGGUGUUGUCAGGCAGCCCAGGGUGCUCUGUUCUGGAACCCGCUGCCUGGCUUUUCGACCUCCACACCAAGGGCCUUUCCACCGGAAAAGGCCACACCUUUUCUCCUAAAGGUGUUUACAAGUCCAGUAGGCCAGCACAUGGACUCUGAGAGAUGUCUUUUGAAAGGGCGGUAAUGCAGUUACAUUUUAACAGAGAGGUCCAAACUACAGAGCAGGUAGCUUGCUUCUGCAUCCAUCACCUAAAAUGCUCCAGGGUUUUUUGCUGGCACACACCUGGGGGAAUCAAAGUGCA